This is a non-coding RNA of Lolium perenne, 2794 nucleotides long. Lineage: Eukaryota; Viridiplantae; Streptophyta; Magnoliopsida; Poales; Poaceae. The record is from RefSeq and is a predicted model, not a curated record.
AUAAGGCCUUGUUUGGCACUGGUGUUUUAGUGGGGAUCAGUGGGGAUAAUACUCUAGAGUAUUGGGUGACAGCAGAAAUUCAUCCAAUCCCCACAAAACCCCAUCCCCAAUCCACUAGGUAGAUGUAGAGUAUUGGGGAUUGAAAAAAUUACACUAAAUUUUGGGGAAAAGUGGGGAUAAGUGGGGAUUAAACUCGCUCAUACUCUAUCACCAAACAUGCGUUGGGGAUAAGUGGGGAUUUGAAGUUUGGAGCGGAUUAUCCCCGCCAAUCCCCAGUAAAACUCUAGUACCAAACAAGGCCUAACCUGGCGGGUACUGGCGGGGGCGGGUAAUGGCGGGGAUCGGGGCGGGGAUGGUGGAGUCCCCGUCGCCACCUUGACUUCCCGGCCUCUUCCCCGCACCACAUCCUCCGCCGCCAGGCCCCACCGGCCACGCUCGGGCGUGCCCCCGUGGUUGCCGCUUCUGCGCAGCGGCGCCUCGCGGUGCCCGGCGACCUUCCCCUCAUCUCGCUCGCGUUCCGCGGCUGGCCUACCCGCGCAGGGGGCCUCGCCGCUGUUUCGUGAGCGUCUCGGCUUCCUCCCUCCCGUCGACCGGUCCGCAAGGCGGCGGGGGCGGUAGGGGGAACGACGAUGGAGGGGGUGGCGGGGAUGGAGGCGACGGGGACAGGUGGAAGCGGCCGCGUGCUUCCCAGGGGACUGUGGUGACGGAGGAGGCCGAUACCAUAAUUCUCGAUGUUGGGGUGUGACUUGUCAAUUGUGAAUAAUUACUCUACCUCCUAUCUCCACGUUGUUGUUGGAACUAGAAGCAUGUAAUCUGUACCUAUGUUAGCCAUUUGAUGGUUUUUGAACUUUUGAUUGCAGGGGAUGUCCUAUGGGGGCUGCACAGCAAGCAUUAAACGCAUUCUGGAGAUUGAGCCCCAGGUGCAGUCUGCAACUGUCAACCUUGCCACUGAGACGGCAGUUGUGUGGGCAGUGCUGGAAGAUACGUCUGUGAAGGAUUGGAAACUCCAGCUAGAUGAGAAGCUUGCCAGCCAGUUGACGACAUACGGGUACAAAUCCAGCCAUCGAGAUUCUUCAAAAGAGAGUUCACAGAAAGUUUUUGAAAGAAAGAUGGAUGAGAAACUUCAGAAUCUAAAACAAAGUGGUAAACUUCAUUUGCAUUAAAAAUUAGCCAUCAAUAUUACGAGCUUCCUCCAAGUCAACAUUUUAUUAUGAAAAAAGGUGACAAUUUUGUAACUAACAUGACAUUGAUUUCUCUUUUAGGCCGUGAUCUUUGCUGUAUCUUGGGCAUUAUGCGAUGUUUGCCUACCGGGACAUAUUUCUCACCUCUUUGGAGUUAAUGCACCAUUGAUGCAUCUAUUUCAUUCCACUGGAUUUCAUUUGUCACUCUCAAUAUUUACAUUUGCUGGUCCUGGUCGACGACUAAUUCUUGACUGAAAAGUCUAUUCAAGGGGUCUCCAAACAUGAAUACGUUGGUUGGUUUAGGCGCUCUGUCAUCUUUUGCAGUCAGUUCAGUUGCAACCUUCAUUCCAAAGCUGGGAUGUAAGACAUUUUUUGAGGAACCAAUUAUGUUAAUAGCUUUUGUGCUUCUAGUGAAGAAUGUUGAGCAGAGGGCAAAGCUAAAAGCUGCUAGUGAUAUGACAGGAUUGCUCAAUAUUUUUCUGUCAAAAGCACGCUUGAUGGUGGAUAGUGAUGCUGAGCAAUCAUCAUCCGCAGAGGUCCCAUGGUACCCUUGUUGAGGGGGACUAUAUAGUAUAUAGUGGUGCUGUCUGGGGUGAGUAAAUAAAAUUCAUAUAGACAAGCACACUAGUGGUGUUGCCAUGGACCUCCUCGACGCGGGCCACUGCCACUAGUCAGAACUCUCUGCCGACAUGGAUGACGCCUCCGUGCUCCCGGUCUUCGGAGCCGCCUACCAGCCCUACAUGUCCCAGCUCUUCUCCUUCUCCAUCGAGCGCCUCCACAAGGAGCCGGAGCUUCUGCGAGUGGAUGGGAAGCGGGUGUGGCGGCAGAUGUACGAGGUGGCGGUGGAGAACUACGCCGCCUUCAUAGCCGCGUCCAAGGCGCUCUCCUUCGUCUGAGUUCAACUCGAGGGAUUCGACAAGCACCUUGAGGCACUGUUAUCAGAAUGUCUUCGUACCGUUGCACAUCUGUGUUGUAUCGUAGUGUUCAGCGAAUCCGAAUUGCGCUUACAGUAUAUGAGUUUUUUUCAAACUCUUCCCUAGAGACUACACCUUUGUGCUAUAUAGAUUCUAUACACUUAUUUGGUGAGUACCGCCUAAGAUUAGUGUCCUCGUUUGAGAUUUCCUUUUUGGUCGCCUUUCAUCUUUAUCAUCUGCUUAUGUUACCGUCCUUCUGUUAUACUACUAUGGUCGGUUUUAAUCGACGCGGCAAUCACCCCGCCUGCAGGCACGCACUGAACACACUCAACGUCGAUUAAAAACAAACGGAGGGAGCAGCUAGCUACUUUCAUUUCAGUGAUGUAGCUUUUCUUUCUUUGCUACGUCGGCUUUUCUUGUUAGUAUAAUUGAUGUUGCUAACCUUUACAUGUGUCAAGUGUUCAACAUGUAUUACUUUAAAUAUUUUCAGACGAAGAUGUAAAGAAAGAAAAGAAGGGGAGAGUGAACAAAAGAAGAUGUAAAGGAACAAAUUCUAGUUUGAUUUUCAUAGAAUUCAAUUCUGAGACUUGUGUAUUAAUUCUGUUCCGUGUGUAAACUGCAUUCUGUAUGAAAACUGUGAUUAUGUGAAUUGAUGUCUGAAUUUGUAAACUAAAUUUUCCAUUUGAAAACUUUAUUACU